RNAcentral lists this ribosomal RNA (632 nucleotides) under fungal endophyte. RNAcentral's name for it is "eukaryotic LSU rRNA". The stretch from base 191 to 344 matches the Rfam family "5.8S ribosomal RNA". Lineage: Eukaryota; Fungi. The record is from RNAcentral.
CGGAGGGAUCAUUAAAGAGUUCUAUAACUCCCAAACCCAUGUGAACAUACCUAACGUUGCCUCGGCAGGUCGCACCUACCUUGUAGCACCCUACCCUGUAGGGCCUACCCGGGAGGUGCGGGUAAGCCUGCCGGCGGCCCACCAAACUCUGUUUGAUAUUGAAUUCUGAACCUAUAACUAAAUAAGUUAAAACUUUCAACAACGGAUCUCUUGGUUCUGGCAUCGAUGAAGAACGCAGCGAAAUGCGAUAAGUAAUGUGAAUUGCAGAAUUCAGUGAAUCAUCGAAUCUUUGAACGCAUAUUGCGCCCAUUAGUAUUCUAGUGGGCAGGACCGUUCGAGCGUCAUUUCAACCCUUAAGCCUUCGUUGCUUAGUGUUGGGAGCCUACGGCAACGUAGCUCCUCAAAGUUAGUGGCGGAGUUGGUUCACACUCUAGACGUAGUAAUUUUUUAUCUCGCCUAUUAGUUGGACUAAUCCCCUGCCGUAAAACCCCCAAUUUAUCAAGGUUGACCUCGAAUCGGUUCAGACAAACUCGCUAAAUUGAAGCAUCUUAGUCAGCGAAGGAAAAGAAACCAACAGGGAUUGCCCUAGUAACGGCGAGUGAAGCGGCAACAGCUCAAAUUUGAAAUCUGGC